RNAcentral lists this ribosomal RNA (1455 nucleotides) under Myiomma sp. UNSW ENT 00029280. RNAcentral describes it as "SSU rRNA". It matches the Rfam family "Eukaryotic small subunit ribosomal RNA", at positions 423 to 1789 of the family's 1831-position model. Lineage: Eukaryota; Metazoa; Arthropoda; Insecta; Hemiptera; Miridae. The record is from RNAcentral.
AGGCAGCAGGCGCGCAAUUACCCACUCCCGGCACGGGGAGGUAGUGACAAAAAAUAACGAUACGGGACUCUUAUGAGGCCCCGUAAUCGGAAUGAGUACACUUUAAAUCCUUUAACAAGGAUCCAUUGGAGGGCAAGUCUGGUGCCAGCAGCUGCGGUAAUUCCAGCUCCAAUAGCGUAUAUUAAAGUUGUUGCGGUUAAAAAGCUCGUAGUUGGUUCUGCGUGCUACGCUGUCGGUUCGCCGCCUGCCGGUGUAACUGGCAUGCCGUGGCAUGUCCUGUCGGUGGCGAACGAGCCCCUUGUCUAGGUGACGGCCGGAGGCAACUUCGCGUCCGUAGGCCGGAGGUUCAACUCGUUCGUCUGCUCUAUCCUACCUAGGUGCUCUUCACCGAGUGUCGAGGUAGGCCGACACGUUUACUUUGAACAAAUUAGAGUGCUCAAAGCAGGCUGAAAUCUCUGCCUGAAUAGUGGUGCAUGGAAUAAUAAAACAGGACCUUGGUUCUAUUUUGUUGGUUCUUAAGAACACAAGGUAAUGAUCAAUACGGACAGGCGGGGGCAUUCGUAUUGCGACGUUAGAGGUGAAAUUCUUGGAUCGUCGCAAGACGCACAAGAGCGAAAGCAUUUGCCAAGUAUGUCUUGAUUGAUCAAGAACGAAAGUUAGAGGUUCGAAGGCGAUCAGAUACCGCCCUAGUUCUAACCAUAAACGAUGCCAGCCAGCGAUCCGCCGAUGUUCCUCCGAUGACUCGGCGGGGAGCUUCUCCCCGGGAAACCAAAGCUUUUGGGUUCCGGGGGAAGUAUGGUUGCAAAGCUGAAACUUAAAGGAAUUGACGGAAGGGCACCACCAGGAGUGGAGCCUGCGGCUUAAUUUGACUCAACACGGGAAACCUCACCAGGCCAGGACAUUGGAAGGAUUGACAGAUUGAUAGCUCUUUCUUGAUUCAGUGGGUAGUGGUGCAUGGCCGUUCUUAGUUGGUGGACCGAUUUGUCUGGUUAAUUCCGAUAACGAACGAGACUCUAGCCUAUUAACUAGGCGGUUUCCGGUGUCCUCGCCACCGGCGACACUCAUUCUUCUUAAGGGGACAGGCGGCUUACAGCCGCACGAGAUUGAGCAAUAACAGGUCUGUGAUGCCCUUAGAUGUCCUGGGCCGCACGCGCGCUACACUGAAGGAAUCAGCGUGUGCCUCCCUAGCCGAAAGGCUCGGGUAAUCCGCUGAACCUCCUGCGUGCUAGGAAUUGGGGCUUGCAAUUGUUCCCCAUGAACGAGGAAUUCCCAGUAAGCGCGAGUCAUAAGCUCGCGUUGAUUACGUCCCUGCCCUUUGUACACACCGCCCGUCGCUACUACCGAUUGAAUGAUUUAGUGAGGUCUUCGGACUGGCGGUAAUCAGCUCUGACAUCCGUCAGUCUUGAUGUACGCUGGAAAGAUGACCAAACUUGAUCAUUUAGAGGAAGUAAAAGU